GAUUACACUUUAAACAAAUGGUCGAGGAGUACGGUAGCGGAAAUGGAAGCGUCGAGUGGAAAUCCGACGAAGGUACGGCACGACGCAAACGCGCUCCGUUGAGAAAUACGCAAAAAAUGCCGUAAAAUCCUAAUUUCUCAAUGGAGUGCAUUUGCAUCGGCGCGAAAUUCGAAUUUUCAGGCGAAUUUCACAUAAAAGUCCCGAAAAUGCACAAAAAAGAGCAUUUCUCGAAUUUGGACAUGAUUACGGAGCUGCUAACGCCUAGUACAACACACCACCAACCACACGGAAAUCAACUUGUCGAGGAAAUGGACGAUUCUGAAGACGAUGAUGAAGGUGAUGGCUCGGAAUUUCUAGUGGAACAGCAGCCAGCAGCAGAGCCCGAAGAGCCGAAAAGUGAUGGAAAAAUCGAAAAAUUCGGCUAUGGUUUCGGUUGGAGCAAGUUUGGAGUUAUUGAGAGGCUCAGAGAUGAAAUCGGCAAAAUUGUGGAUAUUUUGGAGCCCGAAAAUGUGGAAAUUGAGAAAAGAGCCGACAAAUUGAUGGAAUUCGAUUGGGAAAACUUUGAUGAAGGCAGAUAUUU
Molecule: small RNA, 580 nt
Filed under: Caenorhabditis elegans
Lineage: Eukaryota; Metazoa; Nematoda; Chromadorea; Rhabditida; Rhabditidae
Description: Unclassified non-coding RNA Y48A5A.4
Source: RNAcentral